AGAGUUUGAUCCUGGCUCAGAACGAACGCUGGCGGCAGGCUUAACACAUGCAAGUUGAACGGGAUUUGUAUGGUGCUUGCACCAUGUAAUGAGAGUAGCGCACUGGUGAGUAACACGUGGGAACAUACCUUGAAGUGGGGGACAACAGUUGGAAACGACUGCUAAUACCGCAUAAUCCCUGAGGGGGAAAGAUUUAUCGCUUUAAGAUUGGCCCGCGGAAGAUUAGGUAGUUGGUGGGGUAAAGGCCUACCAAGCCGACGAUCUAUAGCUGGUCUGAGAGGACGAACAGCCACAUUGGAACUGAGACACGGUCCAAACUCCUACGGGAGGCAGCAGUGAGGAAUAUUGGGCAAUGGAGGCAACUCUGACCCAGCCAUGCCGCGUGAGUGAAGAAGGUUUUCGAAUUGUAAAGCUCUUUCGGAUGGGACGAUGAUGACGGUACCAUCUAAAGAAGCCCCGGCAAACUUCGUGCCAGCAGCCGCGGUAAUACGAAGGGGGCAAGCGUUGUUCGGAAUUACUGGGCGUAAAGGGUGUGUAGGCGGUUAUGUAAGAUAGUGGUGAAAUCCCAGAGCUUAACUUUGGAAUUGCCAUUAUGACUAUGUGGCUAGAAUUACAGAGAGGAUAGUGGAAUACCCAGUGUAGAGGUGAAAUUCGUAGAUAUUGGGUAGAACACCAGUGGCGAAGGCGAGUAUCUGGCUGUCAACUGACGCUGAGGCACGAAAGCAUGGGGAUCAAACAGGAUUAGAUACCCUGGUAGUCCAUGCUGUAAACGAUGAGUGCUUGUUGUCGGUAUUGUAUCGGUGACGAAGUUAACGCGUUAAGCACUCCGCCUGGGGAGUACGGUCGCAAGAUUAAAAC
This 858-nucleotide ribosomal RNA is filed under the name human gut metagenome. Its description in RNAcentral is "bacterial SSU rRNA". It matches the Rfam family "Bacterial small subunit ribosomal RNA", at positions 8 to 900 of the family's 1533-position model. The record is from RNAcentral.